RNAcentral lists this long non-coding RNA (478 nucleotides) under Anas platyrhynchos platyrhynchos (common mallard). Its description in RNAcentral is "lncRNA (ENSAPLG00000027761.1)". Lineage: Eukaryota; Metazoa; Chordata; Aves; Anseriformes; Anatidae. The record is from RNAcentral.
GCUCGUUGCCCUCCCAGAAAAGCUCUGCCUUUGCUGGUGGUGCCAAGAUGCUCAUUUGGCAGCCACAUUCAUCCUCCCAGAUGUUAGCUGCUCUUCUGGGCAUGCUUGGCCUGGAGGAAUUGGCCCCUAUUGCCUCUUCAGGAUCCUAACCACAGACUGCUCUGCUGUAAAUCUGGGAGACCACGGCCUGCCCAGAGGUGCUGGGGACUAAAUUCGAGUGGGAACCUUCUGCUCUGUCCUUGGAGAGAAGGAUGGUUCCCAGAAGUUACAAUUAUACAUUUGUUUAUUGAAUUAAAAAAAAGAAUGUAAUCCUCUCCUAGGCCCUCUGCCAUUUCUGUAUGAUGGCAUGCACAAAUAAUGGAAACACUUCUUCUCCAGUUAUCUAUCUGAAGAGAAAUGCUUAAUGCGUUACGAUAUAUUCCACUUGAAGUGGAGUCCAGCAUCCUGCCUUCAGUACAUUAGGCUGUAACUCGAUUAC